GAUGAAGAACGCAGCGAAAUGCGAUAAGUAAUGUGAAUUGCAGAAUUCAGUGAAUCAUCGAAUAUUUGAACGCACAUUGCGCCCCCUGGUAUUCCGGGGGGCAUGCCUGUCCGAGCGUCAUUACAACCCUCAAGCUCAGCUUGGUGUUGGGCCCCGCCGCCCCGGCGGGCCCUAAAGUCAGUGGCGGUGCCGUCCGGCUCCGAGCGUAGUAAUUCUUCUCGCUCUGGAGGUCCGGUCGUGUGCUCGCCAGCAACCCCCAAUUUUUUUCAGGUUGACCUCGGAUCAGGUAGGGAUACCCGCUGAACUUAAGCAUAUCAAUAGCGGAGGA
This 328-nucleotide unclassified non-coding RNA is filed under the name soil metagenome. RNAcentral describes it as "partial contains 5.8S ribosomal RNA, internal transcribed spacer 2, and large subunit ribosomal RNA". The stretch from base 1 to 120 matches the Rfam family "5.8S ribosomal RNA", at positions 35 to 154 of the family's 154-position model. The record is from RNAcentral.